Molecule: ribosomal RNA, 497 nt
Filed under: uncultured bacterium
Lineage: Bacteria
Description: partial 16S ribosomal RNA
Rfam family: Bacterial small subunit ribosomal RNA
Source: RNAcentral
GAUGAACGCUGGCGGCGUGCCUAAUACAUGCAAGUCGAGCGAACGGACGAGAAUCUUGCUUCUCUGAUGUUAGCGGCGGACGGGUGAUUAACACGUGGAUAACCUACCUAUAAGACUGGGAUAACUUCGGGAAACCGGAUCUAAUACCGGAUAAUAUUUUGAACCGCAUGGUUCAACAGUGAAAGACGGUCUUGCUGUCACUUAUAGAUGGAUCCGCGCUGCAUUAGCUAGUUGGUAAGGUAACGGCUUACCAAGGCAACGAUGCAUAGCCGACCUGAGAGGAUGAUCGGCCACACUGGAACUGAGACACGGUCCAGACUCCUACGGGAGGCAGCAGUAGGGAAUCUUCCGCAAUGGGCGAAAGCCUGACGGAGCAACGCCGCGUGAGUGAUGAAGGUCUUCGGAUCGUAAAACUCUGUUAUUAGGGAAGAACAUAUGUGUAAGUAACUGUGCACAUCUUGACGGUACCUAAUCAGAAAGCAACGGCUAACUACGUG